Molecule: long non-coding RNA, 1343 nt
Filed under: Fragaria vesca (wild strawberry)
Lineage: Eukaryota; Viridiplantae; Streptophyta; Magnoliopsida; Rosales; Rosaceae
Description: long non-coding RNA (FVES_LNC004720)
Source: RNAcentral
GACACUUCAACUUACAUCCCGAUAAACUUCUUUUAAAAAUGGGUAGUGAGCCCGUAGAAGUAUAAGCAGCAUAAGCAGUAGAUAAUAGUGUAACACGUGACCAGUGUGUUAACACUUCAACCAACACCAUAAAGCAUAAAAAGGUGUCCGCAAGUUGGUUGUAUCUAUCUACAUAGUUUGAUGUAAGAAUAGAAUGUUCACUUUUGUGUUAUUUAGCAUAGGAGGGUCUCACUCCUUAUUUAGCUAAAGAAUAGGCUUUCAAAACGAGCAAUGAGCAUUGCAGGGGGCCAAUGCGACAUCGAGGAAAGGCCGGUGCACCUCAAUUGCUUGAGGAAUUGAUCGGACGACCUCCAGGAAGUUGGAGUCGUGUUCAGGUGACCUCAAUGUCCCCCGGGUCACCACCAUGCUUCAUGGUGAUGCUAGAUCUCGAAUGUCUUCGUUUUGAGCGGAAGAAUGGAUGUCCAUGAGAAUUUCUCAAAAUUUGGACCAUUAUAUCUUUUCCAGGUUGACCAAUUAGUCAAACCAAAACCUAUAUGAGUCAGUGUCCCAAAUAUCAUGUUUGGCGACAACAUGAGAUUCGAUAUUCGAAUCAUAGUGACAUACAGUCCACUAGAUUGACUCAUGAAUUUCUCUAAGAUGCGCUUUAGUCCGCAUUCAUGAGAAGGUAUACACAAAAGAAUUCUUGUUCAUUCUCACAAUGUGUUUUCAAAUGAAAACCAUUAGCAUGAAUGUCUUUAAAACUUAACAUGGUUCCUUAGAAUGUUGUGGAUAGUUCCACUAUCUGCGAAGCACUCAAUGUCUCUAUGAGACAUAACUACAAAGAGUAGAUAGGCGAGUAAAUAGUUCUACUUGAACCAUUUAUAAGGAUUGAAAGAAGCUACGAAAAGCUGCAAUCCCGAGAGUGCAUAAAAAUUUCCGCGCAGAAUGACCUUUGCGUACGAAAACAGCCAUAACUUCUUCGUUAAAAUAGAUAUGGAUGAACCGUGAAAAGUUCUGAAAACUAGACUCGUAGAGCUUUCCAAUGAUAUAAAGCUCACUGCCUGGUUCGUCCGGAGCUGUUCAAAAAGCUCAAACGAAGUUGACUGUCCAGAAGGGACAGAUUGCUGUUUUUCGCAGAUUUGGCAUGUGCGAAGCUGUGAAGCUUGCAGGUGGCGUGUAGGCUUUUGCCUUAGCCAAAAGUGACGUGUGUAUGAUCAAAACCAAGUCCUUUCGAUCGUUCUAAGGUCGUAAACUUCAUGACUAGUUAGCAAAAGCUCCCUGACAUGAACAUAAACUAACUCAGAGGACCUAGAGGAUCCGAUCAUGAUGAUAAUUUUCCAGCUUUGAUAAGUCUUCAACGUCUU